This 124-nucleotide microRNA precursor is filed under the name Hordeum vulgare. Its description in RNAcentral is "microRNA MIR1122". It matches the Rfam family "MIR1120/MIR1122 microRNA precursor family". The record is from RNAcentral. Lineage: Eukaryota; Viridiplantae; Streptophyta; Magnoliopsida; Poales; Poaceae.
UUAGUACUCCCUUCGUCCGGAAAUACUUGUCCUAGAGAUGAAUGUAUCUAGACUUAUUUUAGUUAUAGAUACAUCCAUUAUAUCCAUUUCUAAGACAAAUAUUUUCGGACGGAGGGACUAUUAA